GCGGCNUGUCUUAAGCAUGCAAGUCGAGCGGCAGGCGCAGCAAUGCGCUGAGAGCGGCGGAUUGGUGCGUAACGCGUGGGUAAUCUACCUUUGGCAUGGGGAUAGCCACUAGAAAUAGUGGGUAAUACCGAAUACGUUCCCUGGGGGGAGGUUUCAGGGAAGAAAGGGUGCUACGGCACCGGCCGGAGAUGAGCUCGCGUCCCAUUAGCUAGUUGGUGAGGUAACGGCCCACCAAGGCGAUGAUGGGUAGCCGGCCUGAGAGGGUGUACGGCCACACUGGGACUGAGAUACGGCCCAGACUCCUACGGGAGGCAGCAGCUAAGAAUAUUCCGCAAUGGACGAAAGUCUGACGGAGCGACGCCGCGUGGAUGAUGAAGGCCGAAAGGUUGUAAAGUCCUUUUGCUGGGGAAGAAUAAGUGUGGGAGGGAAUGCCCGCAUGAUGACAUG
Molecule: ribosomal RNA, 447 nt
Filed under: bacterium 05.95.4
Lineage: Bacteria; Pseudomonadati; Spirochaetota; Spirochaetia; Spirochaetales; Spirochaetaceae
Description: bacterial SSU rRNA
Rfam family: Bacterial small subunit ribosomal RNA
Source: RNAcentral